GCACUACUGAGGAGUCCCACAAUAGGACGAAACGGCCUUCUAGUGC
This 46-nucleotide non-coding RNA is filed under the name Schistosoma margrebowiei. The record is from RNAcentral. Lineage: Eukaryota; Metazoa; Platyhelminthes; Trematoda; Strigeidida; Schistosomatidae.